This 253-nucleotide ribosomal RNA is filed under the name uncultured bacterium. Its description in RNAcentral is "partial 16S ribosomal RNA". It matches the Rfam family "Bacterial small subunit ribosomal RNA", at positions 524 to 776 of the family's 1533-position model. The record is from RNAcentral.
UACGUAGGUGGCAAGCGUUGUCCGGAAUUAUUGGGCGUAAAGCGCGCGCAGGCGGUCUCUUAAGUCUGAUGUGAAAGUCCACGGCUCAACCGUGGAGGGUCAUUGGAAACUGGGAGACUUGAGUGCAGAAGAGGAGAGCGGAAUUCCACGUGUAGCGGUGAAAUGCGUAGAGAUGUGGAGGAACACCAGUGGCGAAGGCGGCUCUCUGGUCUGUAACUGACGCUGAGGCGCGAAAGCGUGGGGAGCGAACAGG